This 253-nucleotide ribosomal RNA is filed under the name uncultured bacterium. RNAcentral's name for it is "partial 16S ribosomal RNA". It matches the Rfam family "Bacterial small subunit ribosomal RNA", at positions 524 to 776 of the family's 1533-position model. The record is from RNAcentral.
UACGGGGGGGGCAAGCGUUGUUCGGAAUUACUGGGCGUAAAGAGUUCGUAGGCGGUUUGUCGCGUCGUUUGUGAAAACCCGGGGCUCAACUUCGGGCUUGCAGGCGAUACGGGCAGACUUGAGUGUUUCAGGGGAGACUGGAAUUCCUGGUGUAUCGGUGAAAUGCGCAGAUAUCAGGAGGAACACCGGUGGCGAAGGCGGGUCUCUGGGAAACAACUGACGCUGAGGAACGAAAGCGUGGGUAGCAAACAGG